AGGGGAUCUUCCGCAACGGACGAAAGUCUGACGGAGCAACGCCGCGUGAGUGAAGAAGGCCUUCGGGUCGUAAAACUCUGUUGCCGGGGAAGAACAAGUGCCGUUCGAACAGGGCGGUGCCUUGACGGUACCCGGCCAGAAAGCCACGGCUAACUACGUGCCAGCAGCCGCGGUAAUACGUAGGUGGCAAGCGUUGUCCGGAAUUAUUGGGCGUAAAGCGCGCGCAGGCGGUUUCUUAAGUCUGAUGCGAAAUCUUGCGGCUCAACCGCAAGCGGUCAUUGGAAACUGGGAGGCUUGAGUGCAGAAGAGGAGAGUGGAAUUCCACGUGUAGCGGUGAAAUGCGUAGAGAUGUGGAGGAACACCAGUGGCGAAGGCGGCUCUCUGGUCUGUAACUGACGCUGAGGCGCGAAAGCGUGGGGAGCAAAC
RNAcentral lists this ribosomal RNA (426 nucleotides) under uncultured bacterium. RNAcentral describes it as "bacterial SSU rRNA". It matches the Rfam family "Bacterial small subunit ribosomal RNA", at positions 356 to 773 of the family's 1533-position model. The record is from RNAcentral.